AUGAGAAAAAAUAAAAGAAAAGCAAGAUCCAGAAACCGAAUCGCUCAAUCGCCUCGACUCCAAUCGAUCUCUGCCAUCAGAACCUUUUCCGAUCCGCCACGCAAAACAGUCGUUCAAAUCAUCGUAAACAACCACCGACGAAGCUCCUCCCCCUUUCAGAUCCGACGACGACAUCUCCUGCGACCGCCACUGAGAGCCGUGUCAGAUCCGCCCACGAGCACACCCUCGGCCAUCGCCGAUGAAACCAAGAUAGACAUACUUCUUGAUGUUUUGAUCUGA
Non-coding RNA from Vicia faba (fava bean), 279 nucleotides. Lineage: Eukaryota; Viridiplantae; Streptophyta; Magnoliopsida; Fabales; Fabaceae. The record is from the annotation of a GenBank genome assembly.